CCUACGGGAGGCAGCAGUGAGGAAUAUUGGUCAAUGGCCGCAAGGCUGAACCAGCCAAGUCGCGUGAGGGAUGACGGCCCUAUGGAUUGUAAACCUCUUUUGUCAGGGAGAAAAGGGCGCCACGUGUGGCGUUUUGCGAGUACCUGAAGAAAAAGCAUCGGCUAACUCGGUGCCAGCAGCCGCGGUAAUACGGAGGAUGCGAGCGUUAUCCGGAGUUAUGGGGUGUAACGGGGGCGCAGGCGGAAUGUAAAGUCAGCGUGAAAAUUUCGGGGCUCAACCCCGUCGUGACGUUGAAACUGGGGUGCUUGAGUGAGGGAGAGGUAUGCGGAAUGCGUGGUGUAGCGGUGAAAUGCAUAGAUAUCACGAAGAACUCCGAUGGCGAAGGCAGCAUACCGGCGCGCAACUGACGCUCAUGCACGAAAGCGUGGGUAUCGAACAGGAUUAGAUACCCGUGUAGUC
This 459-nucleotide ribosomal RNA is filed under the name uncultured bacterium. Its description in RNAcentral is "partial 16S ribosomal RNA". It matches the Rfam family "Bacterial small subunit ribosomal RNA", at positions 338 to 795 of the family's 1533-position model. The record is from RNAcentral.